AGAUUGAUACAUUUAAUUUUGUAUUCAGCAAACAAUUCCUUGAACAUAGACGAACAGAAGAAAAUAAACCCUAAGAUCUACGAAUUAAAAUUUCCCAUUUGUUUAUUUAUUUUACACAAUGCUUUGAGUUUGUUGCUAUUGCUUUAACGCACUAAACCAAAUCAACGUGUCCAGCAAAAAGCCGUCCAAGGCCCAGUCUAAGAAACCGUCCUCGAUUCUUCAGUUCUUCCAAUUUGUCAAUUCCAAUUUCCGAUCGGGACUCCAUUAAUCACCGCCCAAGAUCUCUGGCCAUUUAUUUCAUGUCUGUUGAAGAAGGUGCAAGCCAAGCUUGUGGAAGAAGUGCGCUGUUCUCUCUGUUAGCCUUGGACUUGGAAUUGUGCUGUACUCUUGCUGAAGGGAUGAUCUCAUCUGCACUGAAGAGUGAAAGUUGGCAUUAGAAAUGUCAAAACUUUUGUUUAUCAGAGCUGCUAUGAGGAAAAUAUUAACUAGCUUGCAGAAUAAGUGGCUAGUUUUUGGGAUCGGAUUUCCUUACACCCUUUACUUUCCAGCCCGAGAAGCUUUCAAUUUCUAGAAAUGGACAUCCCUCUAUUCAUAUCAUUACCAGUUUCAAGCACAACAAGGGAGUAGUUGAGCUCGAUUCUUACUUUUUGGACAGCUCUAAAGGAUGUUUGGAUCCCCAUAAUUGUAUUGGAAUAGAAUGUAAUGUAAUAAAAAGAUUCAUGUUUCGAUUGAGCCUUUUGAGCCCAAAUUGUUAUUAAAAACUUAUUUUGUUUCAGCAGUUUUCAACUAAACCCUAUUUCCCACCGUUUUCACACUUUACAAUCACAUUUUUUUACCACCCUCGAUUCGACAAGUAUUCUAACACCUCUCUGAUUGGUAGUAAUCCUGAUUAUAUUCCACUUCACCAAACACUCCUCUAAUGUUUGAUGUAUUUCUUUUUACUCUCUAGACAACAGGAUAAAUCACACCCUCGUGUUGUACCAUUGCUCAAAGGAACUUAAGUAAUUCACUAAAUCAUAAUUUCUUCAUGUUUCCCUUCCCUCUCCCAUUAGAUUUUCAAUAUAUCUUCUUUCCAAAACACCGAGAAGAAAGAACCAUAUCUAUAGUCAUAAACAUCUUUCAUUUCCCUACAAAGUCUUUUCUUUCUUCAUGUCCCACAAUACCAUAAAUGUUUUUUUUUUAAUAGACAAUACCAUAAAUGUUGGUCCUUCGUUUAAGACCAGUAUUUUUUUGUUGAUUGCUGUAAUUAUUAUCACCCAAUCAUCGCGGUGACCUUGCUUUGGAGAGAACAAUUUGUUGGUCCCAGCUAAUACUAGAAGUUUCCAUCAUUUUGUGUGGGCUAAACACUUUCAGUCUUCAAAGAUAAAUACAUAAUUUAGGACUUCGAACCAGGGAUCAUUUCACUCAACUGCCUCUACAGCUUGUUAGCAGUGGCAUUUACUUAAGAGAGCUGAUUGACAAGAGAAUGUACCCAGGCUAUAGAAUAUCUUAAUCAAAUAGUCGUAGUUCUAGUUUCGAUUAAGGGUCACACACCUGACUUUCAUAGUGAAAUGAGAUGUAUUUGACUGAGUACUCGGGGAAAAAGGUUAAAUUAUAUAAGAAUUACCAUUGAAUUUUGUCACUUGUUUAUCUCCCUUGAACUUUCUAAAGCAUCUGAAAAUGUGUUAGGAGUAUAAUUUUUUAGAAUUUUGGACUGAGAUUGAGACAUGAAAUAGUGUUAGUGAAUUGGAAUGAAAAUUUAGAUUGCUUCAUCGUCUAGGUCUUGUUGGCGUACAUAGUUCUAAGUCUAUUUCUAUAUGAAAUUUCCAAGGAUUUUUAUUUCAAUGGUAGUUUUGAAACAUUUAUGAAAGUUGUGGGAGUAAUAUAGCAACUUUUUGAACAACGGAAGAGAUUUUGCUCAGACUUAAAAGAAUGGUUAUGUUAUUGUUGACUUUCUAAUUUAGAUUUCAUAGGGAAGGGCUGAAAUACUCAAAUGAAUCCAUGAAUAUGAUUUAUGAACAUGUGUGUUUCUCUUGAAAUGAUUUGUUGGUCGAGAAAAUUUUACAGGAGGAAGUGCUGUUUAUGGACAAUUGGAUAGCGCAAAGGAACCGAAAGUAAAAUCCUUAGGAGGGAAAGACGAUAGGUGCACCGAAAGUUGUCGACAUUAUAAAAUGAAGGUGGAAGAGAAGCCUUUGGAAGGGGAAGGGCUAGCUUGUGAUGAAGGUACAUCAUUUGGGCUCAGCCCAUGAAAGUAUUGUCCUAAGGAGAGGGUAAAGAAAUGAUCGUGUGAUUGGAAGGAAAGGAAAGGAAAAGAAAGGAGUUGACAGGUUUGGUCAAAGCUUGGUGGUAAGGUGCAAGUUGAUGUCACAUAGCAUUAAGAUUUGAGAGAGAGAGAGAGAGAGGAGGAGGUGAAAGAUAGGGUGUGCAGGAAGAAGGUAAAAAAGUGGUUACUGUGAUUGAUUGAUUAAAACCUUUUCUUUGGAGUUUGGCACUGUACUUUUUUGGGCUGUGAAAUGAAAUCUAUGGCCAUAUAUAUAUCAUCACACCAUCAUGCAUGUACAAAUGUACUAUCUACUAUACAAUUGUACAUUUUUGUUUUCCCAUCUCCAUCUAGGCACAACAUUGACCACUCCCUACAUCAUGUGAAAUCAAUCUUUAUACAUUUAUAUAUAUUCAUCUUUUUGUUUA
This is a long non-coding RNA of Cucumis sativus (cucumber), 2667 nucleotides long. RefSeq lists it as uncharacterized. The transcript has 6 exons. The record is from RefSeq and is a predicted model, not a curated record. Lineage: Eukaryota; Viridiplantae; Streptophyta; Magnoliopsida; Cucurbitales; Cucurbitaceae.